GACGAACGCUGACGGUGUGCUUUAGACAUGCAAGUCGAACGAGAAAGCCCUUCGGGGUUAGUAAAGUGGCGAACGGGUGAGUAACACGUGGGCAAUCUGCCCCUCGCAGGGGGACAACCGGAGGAAACUCCGGCUAAUACCCCGUAAGUUCAAAGGGAGGCAUCUCUCUUCGAAGAAAGGUAGCUUCGGCCAUCCGGCGAGGAUGAGCCCGCGGUGCAUUAGCUAGUUGGUGGGGUAACGGCCUACCAAGGCGGCGAUGUAUAGCUGGUCUGAGAGGAUGAUCAGCCACACUGGGACUGAGACACGGCCCAGACUCCUACGGGAGGCAGCAGUCGGGAAUCUUGCACAAUGGGCGAAAAGCCUGAUGCAGCAACACCGUGUGAGCGAUGAAGGCCCUAGGGUCGUAAAGCUCUGUUGUUGGGGACGAAGGGCGAAGGGUUAAUAGCCCCCAGCUUGACCGGUACCUUCGAGGAAGCUCCGGCUAACUACGUGCCAGCA
This 498-nucleotide ribosomal RNA is filed under the name uncultured bacterium. Its description in RNAcentral is "bacterial SSU rRNA". It matches the Rfam family "Bacterial small subunit ribosomal RNA", at positions 28 to 513 of the family's 1533-position model. The record is from RNAcentral.